GACGAACGCUGGCGGCGUGCUUAACACAUGCAAGUCGAGCGGUAAGGCCCUUUCGGGGGUACACGAGCGGCGAACGGGUGAGUAACACGUGGGUGACCUGCCCUUAGCUCUGGGAUAAGCCUGGGAAACUGGGUCUAAUACCGGAUAUGACCUCAUGACUCAUGUUGUGGGGUGGAAAGCCUUGUGCGGCUAGGGAUGGGCCCGCGGUCUAUCAGCUUGUUGGUGGGGUAAUUGCCUACCAAGGCGACGACGGGUAGCCGGCCUGAGAGGGCGACCGGCCACACUGGGACUGAGACACGGCCCAGACUCCUACGGGAGGCAGCAGUGGGGAAUCUUGCGCAAU
This 343-nucleotide ribosomal RNA is filed under the name uncultured bacterium. RNAcentral describes it as "bacterial SSU rRNA". It matches the Rfam family "Bacterial small subunit ribosomal RNA", at positions 28 to 372 of the family's 1533-position model. The record is from RNAcentral.